Molecule: transfer RNA, 90 nt
Filed under: Hallella multisaccharivorax DSM 17128
Lineage: Bacteria; Pseudomonadati; Bacteroidota; Bacteroidia; Bacteroidales; Prevotellaceae
Also listed under: 1 other name
Description: tRNA-Ser
Rfam family: tRNA
About the family: Transfer RNA (tRNA) molecules are approximately 80 nucleotides in length.
Source: RNAcentral
GGAAGGUUGGCAGAGUGACCGAAUGCGCUAGACUCGAAAUCUGGUAUACCCAUUACGUGGUAUCGGGGGUUUGAAUCCCUCACCUUCCGC